RNAcentral lists this long non-coding RNA (4851 nucleotides) under Salmo salar (Atlantic salmon). Its description in RNAcentral is "lncRNA (ENSSSAG00000115088.1)". The record is from RNAcentral. Lineage: Eukaryota; Metazoa; Chordata; Actinopteri; Salmoniformes; Salmonidae.
UGCAAUGUUACGUAGAUGGAAAAAAGCUGUCCUUGAAACAGUCUUGAUAUGUUCUUCAAAAAGAGAGAUCAGGGUCCAGAGUAACGCCGAGGUCCUUCACAGUUUUAUUUGAGACGACUGUACAACCAUCCAGAUUAAUUGUCAGAUUCAACAGAAGAUCUCUUUGUUUCUUGGGACCUAGAACAAGCAUCUCUGUUUUGUCCGAGUUUAAAAGUAGAAAGUUUGCAGCCAUCCACUUCUUUAUGUCUGAAACACAGGCUUCUAGCGAGGGCAAUUUUGGGGCUUCACCAUGUUUCAUUGAAAUGUACAGCUGUGUGUCGUCUGCAUAGCAGUGAAAUUUAACAUUAUGUUUUCGAAUGACAUCCCCAAGAGGUAAAAUAUAUAGUGAAAACAAUAGUGGUCCUAAAACGGAACCUUGAGGAACACCGAAAUUUACAAUUGAUUUGUCAGAGGACAAACCAUUCACAGAGACAAACUGAUAUCUUUCCGACAGAUAAGAUCUAAACCAGGCCAGAACUUGUCCAUGUAGACCAAUUUGUGAAGCUGGUUGAGAGAAUGCCAAGAGUGUGCAAAGCUGUCAUCAAGGCAAAGGUUGGCAACUUUGUUUUGCUUACUACAUGAUUCCAUAUAUUCUACAAUGUAGAAAAUAGUAAAAAUAAAGAAAAACCCUGGAAUGACUGGUACUUGAAUGACUGGUAAUGUAAAUAUAUAUAUAUAUACUUUUUUAGGUGAAUUUUGUAUAGUUUUUUGUUAGAAUGUUUUUUUUCUUGGUAAUCAUGAGUACACACCACUGAAAAUGCAUUAUCGUCAUGAUUGCUGUAAUGAAAGAUUCUGCCCUGCCUUGUUCCUGUUUCUCUGGGGCCUGCUGAUGUGAUGAGCAAGGCACUCUCCUCCCCCCAAGCGCUAGAAAAAUGUGUUCUGAUUGUAUAACAUUUCAAAAUGCAAUUGCGGGAAAAACACGGCUUUGGAAGCUUUGUCUUCUUGUACCCUUCGAAGAGAGGAGGGUCUGCAUUUAACCUGUUUGGGAUAGUGGGCAGUAUUUUCACAGCCGGAUAAAAAACGUACCCGAUUUAAUCUGGUUACUACUCCUGCCCAGAAACUAGAAUAUGCAUAUAAUUAGUAGAUUUGGAUAGAAAACACUCUAAAGUUUCUAAAACUGUUUGAAUGGUGUCUGUGAGUAUAACAGAACUCAUAUGGCAGGCCAAAACCUGAGAAGAUUCUAUACAGGAAGUGCCCUGUCUGACAAUUUGUUCUCCUUCUAGGGCAUCUAUAUAAAAAAUACAGCAUCUCUGCUGUAACGUGACAUUUUCUAAGGCUUUCAUUGGCUCUCAGAAGGCGCCAGAAAGUGGAAUGAGAGCUCUCCAGUUUCUGGGCGAAAAACAGCAGGAGUUUUUGUGAGUGGUCCUGCUGAGAACAAUGACACUGGAGCGCGCGUGCACGAGACGACUCCAUGUUUUUCUUUCAGUGUUUGAACGAAUACAACGUUGCCUGUUUGGAAUAUUAUCGCUAUUUUAUGAGAAAAACAGCAUAAAAAUGUAUUUUAAACAGUGUUUGACAUGCUUCGAAGUACGGUAAUGGAAUAUUUGGAAUUUUUUUUGUUACGUAAUGCGCCGGCGCGUCACCCUUCGGAUAGUGACUUGAACGCACAAACAAAACGGAGCUAUUUGGAUAUAACUAUGGAUUAUUUCGAACCAAAACAACAUUUGUUGUUGAAGUAGAAGUCCUGGGAGUGCAUUCUGACAAAGAACAGCAAAGGUAAUCCAAUUUUUCUUAUAGUAAAUCUGAGAUUGGUGAGGGCCAAACUUGGCGGGUGUCAAAUUAGCUAGCUGUGAUGGCUGGCUAUGUACUCAGAAUAUUGCGAAAUGUGCUUUCGUCAAAAAGCUAUUUUAAAAUCUGACACCGCGAUUGCAUAAAGGAGUUCUGUAUCUAUAAUUCUUAAAAUAAUUAUGUAUUUUGUGAACGUUAAUCGUGAGUAAUUAAGUAAAGUCACCGGAAGUUUGCGGUGGGUAUGCAUGUAUUGUAUAACAUAAUGUCCUAGGAGUGUCAUCUGAUGAAGAUCAUCAAAGGUUAGUGCUGCAUUUAGCUGUGGUUUUUGUUUUUGUGACAUAUAUGCUUGCUUUGAAAAUGGCUGUGCGAUUAUUUUUGCGAGGGUACUCUCCUGACAUAAUCUAAUGUUUUGCUUUCGUUGUAAAGCCUUUUUGAAAUCGGACAAUGUGGUUAGAUAAAGGAGAGUCUUGUCUUUAAAAUGGUGUAAAAUAGUCAUAUGUUUGAGAAAUUGAAGUUUUUGCAUUUUUUAGGUAUUUGUAUUUCGCGCCACGCUAUACCAUUGGAUAUUGGUGAGGCGUAACAUUAAUAUGAUUAUUUGUACAUAACCAUGGGAAUUAAGUUUCACUUUUAAUUCUUGUAAGUAGGCAGUAUUUCCCUCAUAUGACGUGGCUGGCUUAUGUAAAGUCUGUGCUGGCUAGAGUAUAAAUACCUGUGCACUACAAGUUUGAGCAGGUGAUCUCCUUAUUGUCAUUGCUUCAGUGGACAACAUCAAGAAGCUCCUACAACACCUUGAAGAAAAUAACACCAUUUGCAGCUAAAUCAAGAUGGUAAUCUGGCAGUUCACCGUUGGAGAAAGAUCAAUUCAAUAUUCAUGAAUUUUCAGGGAGUUAUUUAGAUUUUCUGAAUUUGCUUAAACUAAUGUAAAAAACGAAAACUCUUCAAGUGAAAAUUAUAUAGUUGAUGAUGUACUGAGUUACACUAAUGUUUAUAUGACUCUUCUUCUCUCCUUUUUGAGUGUCUCUCACUCACCUCUGGCCGAAAGGGAGCGAACAGGCUGUAUGUUGCCUUAUAACAUACAAACCAAAACUGAUGGGUGAUGCCAUCGACCUAAUCCGUGGGUCAGUGACGCGGCCCAUGGUUAAUAACAGUCAAUGCUAAUCGUGGGUCAGUGACGCGGUCCAUGUCCAGAACAGUCAGCUUUCUCUUCUCUUCCGUCUUCUCAUAUAAAUUACAUACGUUUUGUGCACUUAUUGCAAGAAAUUGUAUAUCUAUUCAUAAAGUAGGCCAUUACCUUGUAUUUGUAAAAUCAAGUAACAUUCUACAAUUUCAUUUAAUUGAUAAGACAUCAAAUGUUUCCUUUAUAUACAUUUUAUGUAUGGAAACAUUUGAGGGCAAAAGUCAAUUACUAACUAUGAAUAAUUUGAGUAAACUAACUUAUGAAUAAUUUCCCCAGAAUUAUGAAGUGACAGAUGGUGUUUCCCCUGCAGCAAAGGACAAUGUGGAUGGAGAUUUUACAGAUCUCAUCAAAAACUUCCACCAUCUGAACAUGUAUGGAGAUGAGAAGAUGGACUGGGUUGAUCAGGAAAUUGGAGUGACCUGCUGUCAGGAGGAGGACCACAAUGAGGAAAUGGACUGGAUCACCUCAAGAAAUCCCAGCUUCUGCAUCUGGAGAGAAAGAAAAGAUGAGGAAGACAGCCUUUAAAUGAAGACAGCCUUUAAAUGAAGACAGACUUUAAAUGAAGACAGCCUUUAAAAUCUUCAUUAGCUACCCAUCUGUUGGGUGGCUUGGUCAUCAAAACAUUGGCGUAGUUCACACUCCUGUUGUACAACGCAUCUCACACAUCAGCUGUGAUACACUUUAAGGAUCCUUUAAAUGGGUUUGUCUCCAUACAAACAAAUUGGCAAUAGUUGUGUAAAGAUCAGUUGUAUCACCUCAGUGUGAACUAGGCCACUGUAGCCUAAAUAUGGCAUUGGUACCCUCUUAGGGUUUUGUAAAUACUGUACAGUAGGAUAUAUGGUUAUACAAUCUAGACUGACAUGUAAAUAUGUUGAGUAUCUAUUUAUUUUCUCACUCAUCUGUCGUUUGUUGGCCUCUUUAAUAUUCUGGUAAGUGGUAUAGGUGUAGCCAAAGAGGCUUUAGUAAGUGUAGAUGUAGAUGUUGAUAUAUACACUGAGUGUACAAAACAUUAAGAACACCUGUUUGUAUCAAGAACUUCAACGCUGCUGGGUAUUUCCAUGCAAAAAAAUGUCCCGUGUGUAUCAAGAAUGGUCCACCGCCCCAAACGACAUUCAGCCAAGUUGACACAGCUGUUGGAAGCAUUGGAGUCAACAUGGGCUAGCAUCUCUGUGGAAUGCUUUCGACGCCUUAUAGAGUCCAUGCCCCGAUUAAUUGACGGUGUUCUGAGGGCAAAACGGGGGAACUCAAUAUUAGGAAUGUGUCCCUAUUGUUUUGUACACUCAGUGUAAAUAUUACCCCACAGCAUUCACUCUUCCCAUUAGUCCUUGGAUGUAUUUUUGUGUAGCUAAUUCUCCUCAGAAAAGUACAUCUGCUGUCUAUUUGUUUGUAAAUAUUUAUGUGUUCAGUGUCUUGUCUCCUUGUCAAAUGAGUGUCUGUCAAUUUAGUUGUAUUUCUGUAUCACAUUAAGUUAUCCUUCGAACAGGGAAAGGGUGGUGCCUAGUGGGGGUGGAGGGGUAAAAUAAAUCAACACAAACUAUGAAGUACUGAUAUUCAUUGAUUUGCAUAAAAUGACUCUCAGACUGUAAAUUACAUUCUUAUUGGCAUUGAUUUUUUGUUGAUUUUAUUUGGCAAUUUUCAACAAUACAACUACCCUACACUACCCUUCAAAAGUUUGGGGUCACUUAGAAAUGUCCUUGUUUUCGUUGUACGAGAUCUUCAGUUUCUUGGCAACUUCUCGCAUGGAAUAGCCUCCAUUUCUCAGAACAAGAAUAGACUGACGAGUUUCAGAAGAAAGUUAUUCGUUUCUGGCCAUUUUGAGCCUGUAAUCGAACUCACAAAUGCUGAUGCUCCAGAUACUCAACUAGUCUAAAGAAGGCCAGUUUUAUUGCUUCUUUAAUCAGGACAAC